UGGUUUUCAUAGAGCUAUACAUUUAAUUUGAUUUUAUUAACUCUGUAUUUCAUGAUAACUUUUAAUGUGGAUUAAAUCUCCUGGUUAAUGUCUAUAAACAGACAACAUCUAAGGAAGUAAACCAGCGCCAUUAACAACUGAACGCACUUGCUCUGGUAUGACACUGAAGCCUCCUAACUGAGUGACUUUGUAGCUCCUUGCCCAUCAGCUCCAGCGGAGAGAAGAAAGCCAAAACCUCUGGCAGAAGAGGCUGAUAGUAUCAGCACAGCAGCAGCACAUAGAAGCUUCUGGGCACUCAUGCAGUAUUUUUCACUCAUAUUUGUUUCCUGACACAAACAUCUCUUUUAACGUUACUUCCAGAUCUCUAGGAAGAGGACAAAACUCUUCUUGGCAGGUCCUAUGAAAAAUCCAUGGACAGUCAAUCAGCUGUCUUUGUACAGGUGCUCUGAAAAUGAGCUCCGAAAAUGAGCUCCUUGGAAAGGCCCCAGCACCACAGGGAGUACCUGGUACCGCGACUGCCUGGCUACCUGAAUUCUGAGUAGCGCACCUUCACCCUGAGCCACACAUUGGGGGCCCACC
RNAcentral lists this long non-coding RNA (579 nucleotides) under Dromaius novaehollandiae (emu). RNAcentral's name for it is "lncRNA (ENSDNVG00000006973.1)". The record is from RNAcentral. Lineage: Eukaryota; Metazoa; Chordata; Aves; Casuariiformes; Dromaiidae.